RNAcentral lists this ribosomal RNA (253 nucleotides) under uncultured bacterium. Its description in RNAcentral is "partial 16S ribosomal RNA". It matches the Rfam family "Bacterial small subunit ribosomal RNA", at positions 524 to 776 of the family's 1533-position model. The record is from RNAcentral.
UACGGGGGGGGCAAGCGUUGUUCGGAAUUACUGGGCGUAAAGGGUUCGUAGGUGGCCUACUAAGUCAGACGUGAAAUCCCUCAGCUCAACUGGGGAACUGCGCCUGAGACUGGAAGGCUUGAGUGCAGGAGAGGAACGCGGAAUUCCAGGUGUAGCGGUGAAAUGCGUAGAUAUCUGGAGGAACACCGGUGGCGAAGGCGGCGUUCUGGACUGUUACUGACACUGAGGAACGAAAGCCAGGGGAGCAAACGGG